GUUAUUGGAAAGAUUGUUGUUGUUUCAAAUGCAGCAAAUGUUUAUUCUUCCUCUGGGGAUUUAGUAACAAGAAGGAUAACAAAGCUUCAAGACCUCAGGUUUUGCAACCUGUUGGACAAACAGAAAACAUGGACCUUGAUGACGAAAUCGACAGCAGCAAACAGAAAAUAAUACAAGCGAUCGUCCUAUCUAUCCAAGGUAAAAAUAAGUAAAGCUUGCAGUAAAAGAACAUCUAGCAAGAUAUUCCUUUUGUUGUCUACCUAUAAAAGCUUUUGGAAAAGUAUAUGUCGCAGCUUUUGGACAGAACAUAUCUUUUGUUUUGUAUAUAUGCUAUAGAAGUCGACUUCUACAAAGAUUAACUCCAAG
Molecule: long non-coding RNA, 366 nt
Organism: Panicum hallii
Lineage: Eukaryota; Viridiplantae; Streptophyta; Magnoliopsida; Poales; Poaceae
Exons: 4
Source: RefSeq, a predicted model, not a curated record